CGUGUAGGCGGUUUUUUAAGUCUGAUGUGAAAGCCCCGGGCUCAACCUGGGAAGUGCAUUGGAUACUGGGAGACUUGAAUACGGGAGAGGGUAGUGGAAUUCCUAGUGUAGGAGUGAAAUCCGUAGAUAUUAGGAGGAACACCGGUGGCGAAGGCGGCUACCUGGACCGAUAUUGACGCUGAGACGCGAAAGCGUGGGGAGCAAACAGGAUUAGAUACCCUGGUAGUCCACGCCGUAAACGAUGAGAACUAGGUGUUGCGGGUAUUGACCCCUGCAGUGCCGCAGCUAACGCAUUAAGUUCUCCGCCUGGGAAGUACGGUCGCAAGACUAAA
This 332-nucleotide ribosomal RNA is filed under the name uncultured bacterium. Its description in RNAcentral is "bacterial SSU rRNA". It matches the Rfam family "Bacterial small subunit ribosomal RNA", at positions 568 to 898 of the family's 1533-position model. The record is from RNAcentral.